This is an RNA transcript of Magnolia sinica, 2544 nucleotides long. RefSeq lists it as uncharacterized. The transcript is spliced from 3 exons. The record is from RefSeq and is a predicted model, not a curated record. NCBI's taxonomy places the organism in Eukaryota, Viridiplantae, Streptophyta, Magnoliopsida, Magnoliales, Magnoliaceae.
AAAGAAAAGAACAAUCUUCUCAGUAACAAUUCUCUUUUGCAUUAGUUCUUCCGGAAAUAUUGUUGUGAAAUUGAUUGAGAAAUUCAUUUCUCCGUUUUUUUCCUUGUAAAGUGGAAAUUUACUUCCUUUCAAGAUGGAAAGUAUAUUCUGCCUUUUUUAAUCAUUGUUAUUUGUUAAGCAUCUUGAUUUUUUGCUUUCACAUGUGUGCCUGUUCGAGAUGCAUCUGCGUCGGAACUGGAAGAUUUUAUUUGCAAUUUUAUUGGUGGCUUAUGCAUGAUGUGAGUGAGGUUAAACAAAUGAGUAUGGAUUGAGACUUACCGAGGAUUCUUUUCUGAUUCCAGGCUUCUUACGCCACCUGGUACUCCUCUUUUUCCUUCUCUGGAAAUGGAGUCAAACAAAUCCACCCUGGGUCAGAUUGUAACCCCCAAAGCUCGUCCAACUGCACUGAAGUCUAGGGCUACAGUUUUGUUAUUCAAUUUGGUGACGGUGUGAAUGAGCAACUAGUUGACUAGUUCCCAAGCAGCAAUGCUUCCCCAAUGGCAGAUAGGCAUUUGAUGUCGUGGUAUUUCUUGUUUCUAUAAAAUCCUUUCUGUAAAUUUUGCAAACACAAGGUGCUUUUAUUACUUUCAACAGAUUUUUUGCUUUUGCAUCUUUCUUUACAUUCUGAUACCACAAAUUCUGUGAAUCUCUUCUUUCGAUGAACAUAACUUCAUUUUUUAUCUCACAAUGAAAUAUGAAAGCUGAAUAUUCACAUGAUGUAAUCGGGUCAACUCUAAUUGUUGAUACCAGAUUAUGAUCAUCAACUUGUUUAAAACCACUGAGCUAUCGCUAGCAUAGAAACCAUCUUUUGGAAGUGAUAAAGGCAAAGAUAGCUUAUAUUGAAAAGGAUGUGAAACACAUCACACUAUACAAGACAAAAAUUUCAGGCAGGGCCAACAUAAAUGCCCACUGGCCCACCUAUCGUAAGGAAGGAAAACCGGAGGGGAGCAGGUCAGGCCACCUGCAGGCUGCCCAACCCGACUAUAAAUAUAUGGGAGAAUCCAUGCCAUAUUUCUCUCCUCACUAUUCCUUUUUACUGCAUUCACAAACUCCAAAAUGGAGCUCCCACGUAUGAGCCUAUGGGCAAUUUGGUCAUUUCUCCUUCUAUCUUCCAUUCACCUUCCAUGUUUCUUCGGAUCUGCCUCUCACUUCUCCAAUGAAACAGAUCUCCUUGCUUUGCUCAAAUUCAAACAUCUGAUAACCGACGAUCCUCUACAUUCCUUGAGCUCAUGGAACCAUACUCUCCACUUCCGCCACUGGCAAGGUGUCACUUGCGGUGGUCGACGGCAUCCUCAAAGGGUCACCGCCUUGAACCUCACUGGCCAAAACUUGGUGGGCUCCAUAUCACCCUUCAUAGGGAACCUCACCUUUCUCAGGAUAAUCAGUCUCUCAACCAACAGCUUCUAUGGGACGAUUCCUAAAGAGAUUGGCCGGUUGUUCCACUUGACGUAUCUCCGUCUGACCAAUAACACAUUCACUGGAGAAAUUCCAGCAAAUCUGACCCACUGUUUGAAACUCCAAUUUCUUGAUCUUUCCGGGAAUCAGCUCACAGGGAGGAUUCCGAGUAAGCUUGGCUCUCUAUCGAAGCUCACCUACUUAAACCUUCAUCACAAGUCUUGCAGGAAGCAUCCCACCUUCACUUGGAAACCUUUCGUCUCUCACUGACCUUUAUCUCUCAAGAAAUAGUCUGGAGGGCAGCAUCCCAGAUGACCUUUGUCAAUUGGUGAGCUUAAAGUUUCUUAGCAUAGGUGAAAAUAAACUGUCAGAUGAGUUCUCUCCUGCCAAUUUGAUCGGAACUAGAAGUUUUGGCACCGUAUAUAAAGGGAUUCUAGAUCAUGUUGGGAUUAUGGUAGCAAUGAAAGUCUUCAAUCUUCAACGACAAGGAGCUCUGGGGAGCUUCAUGGCAGAAUGUGAUGCCUUGAGAAACAUUAGGCAUCGGAAUCUUGUUAAGAUCUUAACUUGUUGCUCGAGCAUUGAUUUUAAGGGCAAUGAUUUUAAAGCUCUAGUUUACGAGUACAUGCCCAAUGGAAGUCUAGAGAAGUGGUUGCCCAAAGAUGGCCAUGACCAGCCGAGAAGGAGCUUGAAGUUUACUCAAAAGGUUAAACAUAGCUAUAGAUGUGGCUUCUGCACUGGAUUAUCUACAUAAUCAUUGCCAAACUUCAAUCAUUCAUCGAGAUUUAAGGCCGACCAACAUUCUUCUUGAUGAUGACAUGAUUGCUAACGUGGGUGAUUUUGGGCUAGCCAGGUUCUUAUCUGAGGUUGCCCAAACUAGCUCAGCUGGGAUGAAGGGAUCUAUUGGGUACAGCGCUCCAGGUAAUAAUUUCAUAUAUUUCCUAUCAUUAUCAACAUCAUUAUCAUCAUUGUUGUUAUUUUUGUUAUUCUUAUCGUAAUCACCAUCAUCAUUAUUAGUAGGCUCAAGGCCCAAAAAUCAAACUGGUUUGUGAUUAAGGUGGAGCAUACCAAGGGAAACCAUUGGGUAGAGGGAUGCACGCCCUUGGUUUCUUA